CCGAGACUUGGGUCAGGGCGGAUUCCGCGUACUUGGCGCGGAGCGUGGUCAAGGACUGCUCGGCACUGACGAUCUUGGCGUCUGCUUCGGC
RNAcentral lists this transfer RNA (91 nucleotides) under Arthrobacter ulcerisalmonis. RNAcentral describes it as "Pseudarthrobacter sp. T11b tRNA-Lys". Lineage: Bacteria; Bacillati; Actinomycetota; Actinomycetes; Micrococcales; Micrococcaceae. The record is from RNAcentral.